GCUCCGGUAUCCCAAUUCGGCAGAGGAACACGGCUCAGAACCGUGCCAGUGCAGGUUCGACCCCUGCUCGGAGUACCA
RNAcentral lists this transfer RNA (78 nucleotides) under Deinococcus ruber. RNAcentral describes it as "tRNA-Leu". It matches the Rfam family "tRNA". From Rfam's summary of the family: Transfer RNA (tRNA) molecules are approximately 80 nucleotides in length. Their secondary structure includes four short double-helical elements and three loops (D, anti-codon, and T loops). Further hydrogen bonds mediate the characteristic L-shaped molecular structure. tRNAs have two regions of fundamental functional importance: the anti-codon, which is responsible for specific mRNA codon recognition, and the 3' end, to which the tRNAs corresponding amino acid is attached (by aminoacyl-tRNA synthetases). tRNAs cope with the degeneracy of the genetic code in two manners: having more than one tRNA (with a specific anti-codon) for a particular amino acid; and 'wobble' base-pairing, i.e. permitting non-standard base-pairing at the 3rd anti-codon position. Lineage: Bacteria; Thermotogati; Deinococcota; Deinococci; Deinococcales; Deinococcaceae. The record is from RNAcentral.